This 576-nucleotide ribosomal RNA is filed under the name uncultured beta proteobacterium. Its description in RNAcentral is "bacterial SSU rRNA". It matches the Rfam family "Bacterial small subunit ribosomal RNA", at positions 798 to 1369 of the family's 1533-position model. The record is from RNAcentral. Lineage: Bacteria; Pseudomonadati; Pseudomonadota; Betaproteobacteria.
CGCCCUAAACGAUGAUCUACUAGUUGUCGGGUUUUAAUUAACUUGGUAACGCAGCUAACGCGUGAAGUAGACCGCCUGGGGAGUACGGUCGCAAGAUUAAAACUCAAAGGGAAUUUUNAGGNGACCCGCACAAGCGGCGGAUGAUGUGGAUUAAUUCGAUGCAACGCGGAAAACCUUACCUACCCUUGACAUGGAAGGAAUCCUGGAGAGAUCUGGGAGUGCCCGAAAGGGAACCUUCACUCNGGUGCUGCAUUCAUCGUCGUCAACUCAGGUGUCGUGAGAUGUUUGGGUUAAGUCCCGCAACCAGCGCACCCCUUGUNANUAGUUGCUACGCAAGAGCACUCUAAUGAGACUGCCGGUGACAAACCGGAGGAAGGUGGGGAUGACAUCAAGUCCUCCNGGGCCUUAUGGGUAGGGCUUCNCCCGUCAUCCAAUGGUANAANACAGAGGGCCGCCAACCCGCGAGGGGGAGCUAAUCCCAGAAAGUGUAUCNNUAGUCCGGAUUGUAGUCUGCAACUCGACUACAUGAAGUUGGAAUCGCUAGUAAUCGCGGAUCAGCAUGCCGCGGGUGAAUAC